This is an RNA transcript of Zingiber officinale, 1509 nucleotides long. It is a transcript of the gene named plant UBX domain-containing protein 1-like, with no coding region annotated. The transcript is spliced from 9 exons. NCBI's taxonomy places the organism in Eukaryota, Viridiplantae, Streptophyta, Magnoliopsida, Zingiberales, Zingiberaceae. The record is from RefSeq and is a predicted model, not a curated record.
GAAUUAAAACUAAUUUGCGAUGCUACCUUUGGUUGCGUUCGGAAAUAUAAAGCGGUUCUCUCCGCGGACUAUCCUCAGGUGUUCGUGAAGGUUCGCUCGUUUCUUUCCUUUCGCACUCGCAGCCCUAAUUUCUCCAUCGUAUUCUCCCAUCUCAGCUGGAAGCAUAGAUCUCGAUGGAUGCACAGCAAGCCAAGGCCAAGCUUUUAGCUGUCGAGAAGGAACUUGGUCAUGCAGUUCGUGUUUUUACAAACACUGCGAGUUUUGCAAACCCAGGCGAAAUUUCUUCUUCAUCUACAGAGGAACCUGAUGAAUUUUAUGAAUUUACCCCUGAUGACUAUUACCGGAUCAUGUCAGAUAGAAUUGGAGCACAGUCACAAAUACUAAAGACCCGCAAAAUGAGAGAGGCAGAGAAAGCAACCCGCAGAGCAAAAGUAACCAAGGCUGUUAUCAGGGUUCGUUUCCCUGAUAAGUAUGUUCUUGAGGCAAAAUUUCAACCAUCGGAGACACUCCAAAGUUUGAUGGAUCUUUUGAAGAAAGUAGUUGCUCGCCCUGAUCUACCAUUCUAUAUAUAUACGACUCCUCCAAAGGAACGUGUUAAAGAUACAUCAAAGGAUUUCUACUCGGCUGGCUUUGCUCCAGGAGCUAUUGUCUAUUUCUCUUACGAUCUUCCAAAAGAUUUGGAGUCUGAUGAUUCAAAGGAAGGACCUUAUCUUCGUGAUGAUAUCCUAUCUUUGAAUGGUUUGGAUCUGCCUAUCGAUCGAGUUGAUCCUGCUCAUCCUGAAGAAGAGCUAAAGGGAGUGCAGAUUCCAUCUUCUGCUCCUGAUCCUAAGCCACCUGCUAAGAAACCAGCCAAGCCUAAAUGGCUUAAGCUGUAAAUGGUCCUCAGCUCCUUCAUAUGCCUGGGCCCAUCGAGCCGAUGACCAAAAUCAUUUAUCGACAAGGUAUAGUGUGAUAUCAUAUUAGUUCAACCUUCACUCAUGGCAUCUGGUGAAACAUCAUGUUCUCUGGGUGAGUGAUAGCUCCUCUUUUCAGUCUGGUGGAAACAAAGUGCACCCCAAGAUUCUUCCUGGUUACAGCUACGAGUUUGGUGAUCUAUUCUCAAAGUCUUUGCAGCUCAAGCAUCUAUGAGAUCAAAAAAGCAGGGAGACAAAGAUAAGAAGAAGAUGAUAAAAGAGAUCUCCGUAGUUAGGCAAAGAGAUUGUUCAUUGCUCACUGAAUUGUGGCAGGCCAUGGCCUGCAUGCCAUGUGCUCCUUUGAGCUCUAAGUUUGGACUCAGGACCAUGAAUUAUCUCUUCUUUUCUUCCUUGCAUGGUACAUCAUCUUCUCAUAUCUGUAUCUUCUUCUCGGUCUAAUUCGACAGCUACAACAGCUUUAUUCAUGCUGGCAAAGAAAUUGAACAUUGAGCUAAACUGAGAUUGACCUUGUAGAAUCAAUCUCCGCAUACUCUGUAAGUUGAGGGAACUAUGCCUCUUGAUUAUCCAUGGUCGAUAAUGUUGCUGAACCUUUCAA